This is a non-coding RNA of Pelobates cultripes (western spadefoot toad), 3595 nucleotides long. Lineage: Eukaryota; Metazoa; Chordata; Amphibia; Anura; Pelobatidae. The record is from the annotation of a GenBank genome assembly.
CGGAUACAUAAAACAACAAAUGAUGCUACAGGAUAAUGGACAUUCAACAGCAGAUGGUAAUUGCUGGACUUCUGAUGGGAGAGUUACAUCGUUGUACAGAGCCAAGCCAAGAGUGAGACCGACCUCGUGUCCCUCUGUUACUAUAUAGAUGUGCUAAUACUAACGUCAGCAUAUAACUCUAGCCAUAUAAGGACAAGACCCCCGAAUCCACAUUCCAGAGCUCUCGGACAAAGAAAGCCUUGUGACUUAUUGAUACCAUCUGUUACUUAUGUCAAUCCACACAUCCAUAUAUAAUCAAUAGAAACAUAGAAUAUGCAAUAUUCUACAUUCCCUCUGUUUAUGGUUUGUUUUAAAACCAUAACACAAUGUAAUUAACCUGUCCAUUCAUACAUCACUUGUAUCACAUUCAUUGAGCAUAGAACAGAAUGUAGUCACAACUUUCUAUUAUAUGAGAGUUCUUAGAAGAUCGAGUUUCUAUUCCUCAUACUGCUUACUUUACUUUAAACUCCCUCUGUUUCAGCUAUGUAUUGAUAUCCAUAUCCAUGUUACAUCAUAACUACUUGAACAUAAUAUGUACAUAUAUAUAACAAUAAUAAAUGAAUACAAUAAAAUAUUUACAAAUGUUGAUCCAAUAAACAAUAAAGCAAUCAGAAAGAUCUACCUGCUCAGGUACAGUCAUAUCUUUGUAGAUAACAAAAUCAAGAUCGUAACUUUCUAAAUAAUAACUGUGUAUCACUAUCAUACUCCUACAGACACAUAUAGCAUAGUAUUUUCAUUCUCAAUACCUGAUAUUACUUAAGUACUAAUACAUGUAUUGCUUGUAUAUCCGUGCACUUAUAUUUCCAUGAAUCAUAUGGUUUCUAGCAACCUUAAAAUCUUUAGGUCAUUUGUAUUCAAGAAUUACAUUCCUAUACCAUUAAUACCACCUAGUGAUGAUUGUAUCAGUACUUUACAAUCAUAGUAUUUAAUUUGUAUAUUCAGUAGGCUCUAACUACCUGAAAUAUAUCAACACUACUUAUAAGUCUCAUUCAAAGGAUGUGUUAUCAACCAUGAAGUUCUAUAAUAAUUCUUCAAAUAAUGUUCAUGGUGUUGACAAUACUUAUUGUCCUAGAAAUUCUGCACCCAGAAAUCUUUCUAUCAUAGAUUUGUUUUUGUUUACAGAAUUAUAAUUUUGACUACUAUUCUACCUUGUAGUAACAAACUUUUCAUUCAAUAGAAACAUAGUUUACUUUAAAAUAACUUGGAAAGAAUAAUUUAAAUUCAUUAGCAUCACUCUCUUCAUUAGCAUUGUGAUGACUUAUUAAUGUAAUACAUCUUAAAAGCAGGAUUGUCCUAAUGUUCUGAUCAAUCCGUAUUCCUUAGUACACUUCAACUGACUAAAAUAAAAUAAAACAAAAAUAAACUUGGGGUCAUACUGCCCAGAAACUCUUAUUCCUAGUCUGUGUCUAACAAACUCAGGGAAAUCUUAAAACAACGUAUUCAUUGGAUAUCACCAUAUCCAGAAACCUAUUCUCCCUAGUCCACACCUUUAUAGACUUAGGUCAAAUAUAAUUGUGUACUAUACUCUUUCCAUUCAAUUCAAUUCCUCUUGGAUCUCUGAACUCUUAUAUCCAAUGCAUUCUUAAUGUAUACUAUUACUUAAUAUUAAUCAAUAUAAAUUAUCCUUCCUUAGUUUUCUUCCUUUUAUUACCAUUGUUUGUUUUACUUCAACUAUAUAAACAAAUUACUCAUUAUAGUUAAUCUAUGAAAUACUAUUGAACUCAAUCUUUGUGAUAUUAAGUAACCAUGAUCCUUAUUUUAUCAACUUCAUAUUUUAUCUACCUCUGAUACAUCUCAUUCUAUGUAUAGGUAAUAAUAUAACAGUUCUUUUCAAAAUACUAUCCUAUCAUAAUUUUCUAAGUACUCUCUUUUGGUAUUAAUACUCAUAACUGUUAUAUAACUUUUCAUUGUCUGUUUUCAUUUCUGUUAAUAUUUAGGAAUAUAUAUUAGUGUCAAUCUUUUAUUUCUUUGUAAGUCUGUUAAUCUUCUGUAUCGAAUGAACUCUGUAGAAUCUUCCAUCACAGUUUGCAGAUCAGAUGAAAAGUCUCUUUCCAACAGUCGAUGUCCAGUUGUCUGAAGGAAUACUUUCCUGAUUUAUUGCCACAAGGAUCUGUCACGCUUUACCUACAUUAAAACAAAUAACAUGUGCAGCAUCAAUACAAUGGCUUACAAUGUUUAUAUCUCAUUAUUAUUAUACAGUUUAACAUUGAAUCAUAUUGACUACACAAAACAUACUCAUUUCUUCUCAUGAGAUCUACCAUCUAGUGGUCAUUACAUUUAUGCCAUGUGAUGUAUAAUCUUUAAAUUUCCUUUAUAUUCAAAUCUUUCUGAACAUGUAAAUUCUAAAUUCUCAAACUUUUUAUUACUCAUACCUUAUUAAUCAUACCCCCCUUUAAACUGUUUAAUAAUCUGGAGGUAUAACCUAAUCACAUGUCAGAUGUUACCACAAAAUAUUGUUUUCCACUAUACUUUAACAAUAGCAGCCAUCUUGUCUUAACACUGGCACCAUUUUGUCACAUGAAACAAACUACAAAAAACAUAUAUUGUUUCCUUCAUCAAAUGUAUUUGUAAAUCUAGGUUUUAUUCUAUCAAAACUUUUGUCUCAUAUAUAAUCAAAACAUAUGUAUGUCCAGGCGUUGCAAUAUAUAGUAAUCCAUUAUCAGUCAUGACAUUAAAAUCUCAUUCUCAUGAAUUAAAUCAAAGAUUUUAAAUCAACCUCAGAAGCAACAAGGAAUAUAUCCAUUGUUUUUUCUUCUGUAAAAUGAUUGGAGUUACCGUAUAAUUGCAUACACCCAAUAUAACAUUGCAUGUUCCUAACUGCUACAUUAGUGUAUUUCAUUCUGCCAUAUUUGCAAACUUGAUGUAAAUUUUUAUUUUAAUUAAUUAACCUAAUACUUUCUUAUAACACACAUAAAAACAAUGAAAAAACUGUUCAGACUAAUAAUUCAUUAAAACAAACUAACAUAGAACUCUAUUCUUGGCUGUUCUUAAUUCUGGAAUCAGCCUGUGUACAUCUGUUGGCACUCAUAUCCAUGCUCAUUCCCUAAACUGAUCAUAUCUAUUGAAGUUACCGGAUUCUUAUAACUUUCUGUGUUACACUGCAUUGCUUGUCUGUCUCCUAAUUUCGAUUUAGCUAAAAUUGUUCUUAUUUGUCUGAUUAUAAGUUUACAAGGAAAGGCCUUUAUUGAUUUAUCUCCACAUGUAUUUUCUCUGUCAAAAUUUUCAAUCAACACAUUUAAUUUCUCAUUUGCUUUUGAUUUGAUAUCUCGGAUAAAAUAUCUGCAAGAUCUUAAAUAAUGUUGUUUAUUGCACCAAAAACAAAUAACUUUAGGAGUUAUAUUCUGCCUUUUAUUAUCAACUCUACAGUUUUUAGUUGAAUAAAUUGGGAGGGGCUCAGCUGUCUGUAUCACUCUACACUCUGUCCUAGAAGAAGAAGAAGGAGGGGGACGAGGGCUGUAAAAUCUGCACUUCUUUCUCUGCCUAAAUCCACAAGUCAUUUUAACCCCUUCAUUAUUGGUUUCUCUCCUUAAGUUAUCCAAGAACAAAGCUACUUCUG